GUCCAGAUGUAGAAUUCGAAAUAUGGAUUUCAGAACAUAUGAAUAGGUCACAUCAGGCUUAUCCAGGGCCAGGGGCCCAGUUACUCCUUGCACAAAGAUGGCCAGCGGAAGGGUUGAAGAGAACUGAAAUCCAGCCCAUAGUCCACUCCUCAGCUAGUCCCUGUAGCAUCUAGCUACAGGGCUCCAUUCAUCCAGGAGGGUGCCUUUUUCUAAUUGACCCAAGGUACUAGACAAUAGACCCGGGUAUUAGCUGUGGCCCUGACUCUUACCCCACGCCUUGCAAAGGAUCAUUUAAGUCUCUGUGUUCAGUGUGGUCCUACUAACCCAGAUCAGGCAGUGCACGUGGUUCCGACAACGUCUUCUAUGCUGCGCCAGCCACCUGGGCUACAGCUGGUGGCUCAUUCUCUCCACUCAUCUGAAGAGACAGGCACAGGGCUGUUUCCCUUCUUGUAACUCCUACUCUUUCCUCCGGGUUCAUCGAUAGCCACUCAGUUGACAGCUUUUUGAUCUUUUCUCUGAGAUUUAUCAGUGCGUUUUCCAUUUUUUGAGAGCUUUUGUACAUAAUUCUGCUUUGCCUGGUGGUAUUGGUCAGCUUGCCAUUUUGGUAGCUCUCCUCUGUUUGGGUUCUUGCUCAUCUACAGCCUGUAAAAUGUGUGAUAUCUGAAAUGAAGACAUCUUACAAUGCUCUGAGAAGGAUGAAACAAAUGUCAUUACCUUCUGCUUUGGUUUGGAUCAAGGGCUUAUAUGUUGGAAGCUUAGUCCUCGAUGCAGAGGAGUUAAAAAGUAGAGGGACCUUUAAGAGGUAGGACCUAGAAUGAGGUCACAGUGGGUCCUGGCCUUGGAAGAGAUUAAGGUAGUUCUUGUGGGACCCCUUACUUAGUUCUUAUGAAGGCAAGUUAUAAAAGAGUGAGCCUGACUCCUGAAUUACUCUCUAGCUUCCUGUCUCACCUUGUGAUCUCUCCUUCUCACACAUGCUCUAGAACUUUGAGCAAAAUAUACCUCUUUUCCUUAUAAGUUACUCAGCCUCAGGUAUUUCAUCAUAGUAACAGAAAGUGGACUAAUACACCACCUUCAUCUAGGAUAAUAUACCUCUAUUAAUGCUGCUUGGUAACACAGCUUGCUUACUUAGCAGCCAAAAUCCAAAGAUUGUUGACAUGCAUGAUGUCGAUAAAUGAGCCAUUGUUACUCAACCCUCCUUUGAAUGGUCCUUUCUGCCACAGCCUUCAGGGACUUUCCCCCUUAACCUCCUGACCUUCCAGAAAAGACAACCAGCGGCCAAGUCUCACCACGCCUGUGUUUGCAGGCCCAGUCCCCAUCCUGUCUCAGUACAGCCUUUGUAAGUGCUGCCGGCUGGCUGCCUGUUUAUCACAGACUAGAAAACCUUGAUUUUUAACAAGAACAACAAAAAAGAAGUGCCAUCUAUG
This 1424-nucleotide long non-coding RNA is filed under the name Marmota monax (woodchuck). The record is from RNAcentral. Lineage: Eukaryota; Metazoa; Chordata; Mammalia; Rodentia; Sciuridae.